GUAGGUGGCAAGCGUUGUCCGGAUUUACUGGGCGUAAAGGGCCUGUAGGCGGUUCGUUAAGUCCGGUGUGAAAUCUCCCGGCUCAACUGGGAGGGGUCAUCGGAUACUGGCGGACUAGAGGGGGGUAGAGGAAAGCGGAAUUCCCGGUGUGGCGGUGAAAUGCGUAGAUAUCGGGAGGAACACCAGUGGCGAAGGCGGCUUUCUGGGCCUACCCUGACGCUGAGGGGCGAAAGCGUGGGGAGCAAACCGGAUUAGAUACCCGGGUAGUCCACGCCCUAAACGGUGGGAUGCUAGGUGUGGGGGGUGUCGACCCCUUCCGUGCCGUAGCUAACGCUUUAAGCAUCCCCGCCUGGGGAGUACCGGCCGCAAGGCUA
This 374-nucleotide ribosomal RNA is filed under the name uncultured organism. Its description in RNAcentral is "partial 16S ribosomal RNA". It matches the Rfam family "Bacterial small subunit ribosomal RNA", at positions 527 to 896 of the family's 1533-position model. The record is from RNAcentral.